This is a non-coding RNA of Cherax quadricarinatus, 1250 nucleotides long. NCBI's taxonomy places the organism in Eukaryota, Metazoa, Arthropoda, Malacostraca, Decapoda, Parastacidae. The record is from RefSeq and is a predicted model, not a curated record.
CGUAUUUGCCUCUCCAGUGUGCGUGCCAGGUUCCAGGUGUUCAGUUAUCCCCGCUGCUGGGGUUGAAGUCGCCCGGAACCUCGCUGGCGAAUUGUUCGAGGUUCCUGCGAAGCUAAUCCAGUUACGAAUCUGCAUCUUGCAUUUAAGUCACCUGUCCCGAGUAACUGCCAAACGUUUGAUAACCCAGAAGCCUCGCUAUUUGCACAGUGCUUCGGUAACUUCACGACACCGCACUGCUUCCAUUUUGACAGCAAAUUCAUGUAUAACUGGUAUAUAUCCCACGUUGAACCACCAUUUAUAGAAGAUAUACAACCCAUACACUCCCAGAAACUCGACCUUUCUCGACUUGAGCACCCAGCCAACUCAAUAUUAGCUAUUAAAAUAUUCUUGUUUGGUGUUAUACAAGCGACCAUUCAGACCCCAUUAACCACCCAUAACUAUUACAGGCUCUAUUACGCAGUUUAUAUGUAUAUAUCAAUGUAUAUAUGCUCAGUUUACUUUAAUUCCUAUUUCAUUAAAGUAUUCUUGUCUGGUGGUGGAAAGGUUAUAAUGUGCAGCCUAACGACCCUCGUCUAGGUAAAAGGCUUUUAUCCCCUGACUAACCAGCCAGGACUGUGCUGUUAGAGGUCAGUUGUGUCUGUGUCUUGACCUCCCAGGUCAUACCAUCCCUGGAGCUGCUGCUGUCACUGUCACAAUAUACAUAUGUGUGCCACAGGUCAGGUUUGUUGGCACUUCUACUGACUUUCUAUAUCUAGAACCGCUGUUGCAGGUCUGCUAAUAGUAAGGUCACGACAGUGUUAAUCUCUGGCAAGAUGAUACCCAAGAGACUAUGGGAGCUGUGUAUAGACAGAAUAGUCAAGGCUACGCUUAUUUUCCAGGAGCUUUCUCCUAAUGCCGUCGCCACCCCACCCUUCCCACCUGCAGAUGUAUCUACACAACUCAAACCCAAGCCUUUACAGAGUUCAGAGACAACUUUGCGCAUGUGGGGCACUAGGUUGAAUAUUCGAAGUGGACGUAAACAACGCAAGAUGAGAAGCAGCUGUGCUCCAGAUUGUGGAGGAACUUCCUUUGGCAUCCAGCAUGAAAACACCAAAGAUACCUGAAAAUUUGAACUUGUUGUCUCUUGGCCUGCAACAUUUUGAUGUCCAAAUCUUGAGGCUUGCGGCUCGAUGACGUUCGAUUCAUUAUUCCUAGAUCACCAUUUUCUUUUAGAUGAUCGUAGUUCUGCUGCUUGAGCUUGACCGAGCCAC